RNAcentral lists this ribosomal RNA (468 nucleotides) under uncultured bacterium. RNAcentral's name for it is "partial 16S ribosomal RNA". It matches the Rfam family "Bacterial small subunit ribosomal RNA", at positions 28 to 507 of the family's 1533-position model. The record is from RNAcentral.
GACGAACGCUGGCGGCGUGCUUAACACAUGCAAGUCGAACGGAAAGGCCAUGCUUUUGUGGGGUGCUCGAGUGGCGAACGGGUGAGUAACACGUGAGUAACCCGCACUUGACUUUGGGAUAACUUCUGGAAACUGGGGCUAAUACCGGAUAGGAGCUACUGCUGCAUGGUGGGGGUUGGAAAGUUUCGGCGGUUGGGGAUGGACUCGCGGCUUAUCAGCUUGUUGGUGGGGUAGUGGCUUACCAAGGCUUUGACGGGUAGCCGGCCUGAGAGGGGGACCGGCCACAUUGGGACUGAGGGACGGCCCAGACGCCUACGGGAGGCAGCAGUGGGAAAUAUUGCACAAUGGGCGGAAGCCUGAUGCAGCAACGCCGCGUGCGGAAUGACGGCCUUCGGGUUAUAAACCGCUUUCGCCUGAGACGAAGCGUGAGUGACGGUAAUGGGUAAAGAAGCACCGGCUAACUACGUG